Molecule: microRNA precursor, 82 nt
Filed under: Eptesicus fuscus (big brown bat)
Lineage: Eukaryota; Metazoa; Chordata; Mammalia; Chiroptera; Vespertilionidae
Description: microRNA efu-mir-9223a precursor
Rfam family: mir-9223 microRNA precursor family
Source: miRBase by way of RNAcentral
AGGGCGAUUCUUGGGUGACGCACCCCGGAAUCGGGCUCCCUCCUCUCUGGUUCCCGGGUGUGUCACCCGAGAACUGCCACUG